Non-coding RNA from Odocoileus virginianus texanus, 3033 nucleotides. The record is from RefSeq and is a predicted model, not a curated record. Lineage: Eukaryota; Metazoa; Chordata; Mammalia; Artiodactyla; Cervidae.
UUUAGGGGUUGCUCCCCAAAACUUUCUGGGAGCAACAAAAGUGUUGUGCUAUCAGCAGAUAUUUAUUUAGCAUCUAAGAUGUGCCAAGCUCUGUACAUGUGACAAGAGUCAGCAAGACAGACACAAACGCUGCCCUUGUGGGUCUUAAAAUAAAAGAGACAAGGCAAGCAAUCCCAAUGAACUGUGAUGUAAUAAUUAUGGGGGAAGCCCCCUGAUCCUGCCAGAAGGUUCAGGAAAGCCUCCCAGAUUGGAGAUGUGAAGGAUGAGGAAAAUUUGUCAGGCAGAGUGAUGACAAGAGGAUUCCUGGCAGGGGGAACAGUAUAUGCAAAGUAUGGAGGAAUGUUCAUAAAACCCAAGUUUCUGGCUUCUCUUGAAAACCUGAACCAUCUGCUUAAAUCCACUGCAGCAAAGGCCCUCAAGCACCCUUGAAGGCGUGACCAGCAUCUUCUACCCCAGCUCCAACUGUCAGACCAGCUGGAGGGUGACCUCAAGCACCCACACUCCAAACAGCUGACUGGACAAGUCAAUCGACCAUAAUGGUUCCCGGGGAGCCACUUACCCCGUCGAGUUUGAGCGACGGCGGCUCAGAGUCUUAAGCGCUGCUCGGCUCCCGGCGUCUGGGGCAGACAACCAGCUCAGGCCAAAGAGAACAGUUCGCCAACCUUGAUGGCAGACCUAGAUGGGUCUCUAAAGAGUCUACAGAGAAGCCACCCCUGAGAAAGUCAUGAGGUCGAAAAAUACCAGCCUUAAAGAGGAGGAAGCAUAUUUGCACACUCAAGGGUAGUGGAAGCGUCUUCAGGUGUUUGAGGUGAGACCAACUGAAAAGGAGCCAGCUACGGGAAGACCGGGAGAAAAAGAGGCCCAGGCAGAGGGAACUGCAAGCGCAAAGUCUCUGAGGUAAGAAUGUGCUUGACGAGUCUGAGGGACCAAAAGACCACUGUGACUAGAACAGAGCAAGUACAGGAGAGACGCUGGAGAUGAAGUCAGAAGGAUGACGGCGGGGAGGUGGAGGGCUCGCCUACCCGGAGUCUUACAAUCAGGGGAGAGGACUCGGGAUUUUUAAAUUAAGUAUGAUAGGAAUUGAUUGUUCAUAUCCUACAAAACUCUACAAACCAUUUUCUGAAGGGAUCCUCAAGGCUUAGAAACCAAGAACUCCAUUCCAGACAUGAUUUUUUUUGUCUCAAAAUUCUGCUUAAGAGGCCAAUGGCUCCUCAUCACUGCCAAAAUGGGCCCCGAGGUCAUGAAAAGGCAAUACAUUUAACUAGCACACAAAGUAUGUCAGCAUCCUUCCCUUCACAGCAACUGGAGCAAACCAGAUGAGCACAACCAGUCUAUGUGAUGGAUUAAGAAAUGGGAGACUUGGAAUGUUAGGGGAUUCACCCAGGAGUGCUAGAGACUGUACUUCUUAGCUGCUGAUGGGGCCUUCCCCUCUGCCUACUACUUCCACCUUCCCUGGCACCUUUGAUAUAAACCACUGUCAUUAAGAAAGAGCAUUCCCCCAGACAGAAAAAUCAAACAGAAGACCGAACUCUGAUUUCCUAAGCCAGAAACAAAGGCAGGCCACUACCUCAGUCCCCUUCCCACACUCAACCUCUGCCAGGCUCAGUCUGAGUUAGAUAACAGGAUGCCACCAGAAAUUCAGCCCUUUCAGAAAGCAACAGAGAAAACCAUAGUUUUUGUACAGCCACCUCCACCAUCAUCCAGGAUCAAAUUUAGCACCAGCUGGGGUGCUCACGUUUGAAAUUCUAUCUGACGGAAGAAAGGUUACCACAACAGAAUGUCAAGUUCGAAGACAGAAUCCUCCCUUUAACAGAAGAGUUUAAAAAAAGAAGAAAGAAAUAAAGAAAAAGGAAAGAAAAAAAAGCACCACCACCAUCAGAAAAGCUGUUCCCUCUGGUCAAAAUAGCACCGUGCUCAUCUGAAAUAACCCACCGAGACGCUUAUUUGCUUCUUUAGGCUUGUCCGUGGUUUCUCAAUUUUCUACAGCGAAUUCAGGUAUUAAUAAAAGAAACUUCGAGACCUCCAACAGCAAAAGCGGUCAAGGAUGAGACGUUGCUCAUUUUUCUUCCAGCAUUCAAAGAGAGGCCCAUCUUUGGGAAGCAAUUUCUGUCGAGUUGAGAAAUUCAGAAUUUUGGGAUGCCCAGAAAAGACUGCUGGGUUCUUUAUAUAAAUUCUCAACACCUGUUUCUAGCUCCUUCUGCAAAAUAGGCUCACAGGGUGUGGCUUGCAAUGAACUGGAGAGGCAGAUGGAAUGGGGUCACCCACUGGCUGGACUUGGAAGGGUCCAGGGGGCUGGUCAAUGGUUUGGUCGUAUUCAUAGAGCUGCUGCUAGAAAUCUCCCCUCAUCCCUUCUGUCUCCCGCAGCUCCCUCUCCUCCCGCUCCCACCUCCCACAGCCUUCGCCCUAAUGCCAGUCCAGCUCAUGGGCCUGGGCCUGGGCCGCACCAAGCCUGGCCUGCUCAUGCUCCCCACCCCAGCAGCAAUUCUAUUACAGCGAAGUUUCCAAAGUUAGGAUUCCGCCAACAGAGCUGAUAGCUUAUUUACUGCUGUCAUCUAAAGAAAGAGGAAUUUUGACACAUUGUUAAAUGAUAGCACAUUUAGAUAAGUCAAGCUGUCAGAGGCUCUAAUGGAUGUCUAAACUCUCUGUGGCUGAUAUGUAAAAUUUAUGCACUUCAGAAUAUCAUAAGGUUAUAAUAUUUUAAUCACAUCCACGCUCUUUUCUAAACUUUGAGCUGAGAAAAACAUUCCAUCAAGUCCCAUCUCCCGUACGCCAAGAAAUUGAGCCUUCCUAGAAGUUUCUCCAAAACUCCUUACAAAAAGUCCAGCUUAUCUCGUUUGAGGACCCAUCAGUUUUCCUCCCUAAAGGCUUGUGCCCCAAGCAGAAUUUGCCUUUUCCACCCAAGUUUGUGCAGUGUGAUCCCUCCAGCCAACCUCUUUCCUCCCAAGAAACAGAUGUGCAUUCAGACUGAGCACCAACUCUUGUUAGCUUGAUUAACACUCUUUGAAGGAAAAAAUAUAUAUAUAUAUCACAAGA